Non-coding RNA from Camellia sinensis, 466 nucleotides. Lineage: Eukaryota; Viridiplantae; Streptophyta; Magnoliopsida; Ericales; Theaceae. The record is from RefSeq and is a predicted model, not a curated record.
AUUGAAUUUUGGUUUCAGAAGGAAGAUUUAGGGACGAUUUCACGUGGGAUUUUGUAUUCAUCUUUUACGGUUUUUUCUUUGGUUGCUGCAUUGGUUGCUCGAUUUCUAGGGUCGAAAAAUGCUCUUAUUCUUGGGACUACUGACUAUUGGUUGUUCAUAGCAGUGAAUUUGAUACCAACAUGAUGGUUUUGGACAUACAAAUGUGGAUAUGAUUUUUUUUGAAAAGUACGGUAGGGCAAACAAAUGUGGAUAUGGUUUUGGACAUACAAAUGUGGAUAUGAUGGUUUUGGACAUACAAACUAAUGAUUUGUAUUAUAUAUAGAAAUGAAAUGAAUGGUUUUGGUUAGUCCUGUAUUAUGUAUGAAAUGAAAUUAUUGACGUUGGAUUAGACUUGGUUCGUAUGGAAUUUGUAUUAUAUAUAGAAUUGGACGUUCAAUAUUAAUGUUUUGGAUGGUUGGAACUAAAA